RNAcentral lists this ribosomal RNA (450 nucleotides) under Triticum aestivum (bread wheat). Its description in RNAcentral is "partial small subunit ribosomal RNA". The record is from RNAcentral. Lineage: Eukaryota; Viridiplantae; Streptophyta; Magnoliopsida; Poales; Poaceae.
AUGCCACCGCCCGCGCCUGACCGGGCGUCUCCUCUGCCUCGACGCCGCACGCAGCCGAAGAAGCCCGCCAGGCACCACCCCCGCCCGGUCCAGAUCGAGGACGAGGCGAGCCAGCCCCACCACCGCGCCGCCCGGCACACGGCCCACUCUGCUGCCACCGAGAAAGCGCCGGAGAGCCACCGCGCCGCUGCGCCCGGCGCCAGCGCCGCAUCCCGCCGUGGCCGCCCCGUCCCGCAUCGAGGCCACCACGCGAGGAGCCGAGACCGCCCCGCCGCCGCCGGCGCCGGCCAGGCUUUGCCUGGCCGCACCCUGUGGCGGCGGCGAGGGAGGAGGAGCGGGGGAAGAGGGGCCUCUGGCGGCGGCGGCGUGGUCGCCCUCCCCGUCGCACGCGGGGCGACGCGGGAGGGGAUAGGGGAGAGAAGAAUUCAGAAGACGUCGGUGGAGAUUUAA